AUAGAGAAGGGUGCGUGAUUUACAAAAAAUAGGGAGUGGAUAUUAUCUUUCUUCGGCUUCAAAACGGGGCGAGGAUGGGUUAGGGCUGGGGGCUGGGCGAGCCUUCUCACCGGCGCGGCGCCCCCGUUGUGUCUCUCUGUUCGGGAGAUGUUGAAACCAAGUCAACCUGCUCGAUGCUUGUAAUUUGUGUCAUUUUUAUUGGUGAAGAUCUCAUGAAUAUGGGGAUAUAAUUGAAAUUGCCAACAAGUAGUGGAUGCAACUGAUGCUUGACAUCACAUUCCUUGCCUAAACAAGGCAGGGCAUGUCACUUCAUCAUCCACGCACUGGACUCGUAGGUUGCGGGAAGGAAGAAGCCGUUUGCCAU
Non-coding RNA from Elaeis guineensis (African oil palm), 364 nucleotides. NCBI's taxonomy places the organism in Eukaryota, Viridiplantae, Streptophyta, Magnoliopsida, Arecales, Arecaceae. The record is from RefSeq and is a predicted model, not a curated record.